UCCAUCCUGAAAUGCUUAGUCCUUAGGCCUU
This 31-nucleotide non-coding RNA is filed under the name Homo sapiens (human). Lineage: Eukaryota; Metazoa; Chordata; Mammalia; Primates; Hominidae. The record is from RNAcentral.